GGUCAAUGGCCUAACGGCUGAACCAGCAACUUGGAGGAAUGUAUAUAUAUAUAUUAGAAAUGAUAUAUUGUACCGGCUCGCUUGGAUAUAGUUCUAGAUAGAAUAUUGAUAAUGACUAUUUUCUAUCUAUAAGUCUUGACCAAAUCUUGUGCCAGCAGUCGCGGUAAUACAAGGGAGACUGUGUUAUUCAUCUUUAUUAGGUUUAAAGGGUACCUAGACGGAAUAUCAAGCCCCAAAAGGGGACUAAUAUUCUAGAGUUUUAUGUGAGAGGCUAAUAUAGUACUAUUGGAGUAGAGAUAAAAUUUUAUGAUACCUUUAGGACGGGUAACGGCGAAGGCAAUCCUCUAUGUAAAAACUGACGUUGAGGGACGAAGGCUUGGGUCGCGAAUAGGAUUAGAUACCCUAGUAGUCCAGGCAGAUAAUUAUGAAUGUCAUAGAUUGGAAAUAUUUUUGGUCUAUAAAUGAAAGUGUAAGCAUUCCACCUCAAGAGUAAUGCGGCAACGCAGGAACUGAAAUCAUUAGACCGUUUCUGAAACCAGUAGUGAUGUAUGUUGUUUAAUUCGAUGACCCUCGAAAAACCUUACCACAGUGUGAAUGUUAAUUAAAAAAUUAACACAGGCGUUGCAUGGCUGUCUUCAGAUAAUGUCGUGAGAUUUUGGUUAGAUCCAUAAAAUUAUCGUAAACCCUUGCUCUUUAUUUAUUGUAAUAAUGCAGUUAACCACUAUAUUGGAUAAUAUAAC
RNAcentral lists this ribosomal RNA (740 nucleotides) under Melanops tulasnei. RNAcentral's name for it is "SSU rRNA". It matches the Rfam family "Bacterial small subunit ribosomal RNA", at positions 366 to 1169 of the family's 1533-position model. The record is from RNAcentral. Lineage: Eukaryota; Fungi; Ascomycota; Dothideomycetes; Botryosphaeriales; Melanopsaceae.